CUUCGGAUACUUUUGAGUUGCUGUAGACCUGUCUUCAAUGCCUUUCCCCACACAGGCGACAUUGACUACAGCACCGUGCUCCUCGGCAUGCUGGUGACGCAGGACGUGCAGCUCGGGCUCUUCAUGGCCGUCAUGCCGACUCUCAUACAGGCGGGCGCCAGUGCAUCUUCUAGCAUUGUCAUGGAAGUUCUGCGAAUCCUGGUUUUGAUUGGUCAGAUUCUUUUUUUCGCUAGCGGCGGUUUUUCUUUUAUGUCUUGUUAUAAAGAAGUAUCUCAUUGGACCCUAUUAUCGGAAGCUGCACGUGGAAAGCAAGGGGAACAAAGAAUAAUCCUGAUCUUGGGAGAUCUGCCGUUAUCUUCUUAAUGUUAACGGUCACGGAGCUGCUGGACGUCUCCAUGGAGCUGGGCUGUUUCCUGGCCGGAGCGCUGGUCUCCUCUCAGGGCCCCAUGGUCACUGAGGAGAUUGCCGCCUCCAUUGAACCCAUCCGUGACUUCCUGGCCAUUGUUUUCUUCGCCUCAAUAGGGCUCCACGUGUUCCCCACAUUUGUGGUAUACGAGCUCACAGUGCUGGUGUUCCUCACCUUGUCAGUGGUGGUCAUGAAGUUUCUCCUGGCGGUGCUGGUCCUGUCUCUCAUUCUGCCGAGGAGCAGCCAAUACAUCAAGUGGAUCGUCUCCGCGGGGCUUGCCCAGGUCAGCGAGUUUUCCUUUGUCCUGGGGAGCCGGGCACGAAGAGCGGGCGUCAUCUCUCGGGAGGUGUACCUCCUUAUACUGAGUGUGACCACGCUCAGCCUCUUACUCGCCCCGGUGCUGUGGAGAGCUGCAAUCAUGAGGUGUGUGCCCAGACCAGAGAGACGGUCCAGCCUCUGAUGUACGGAGAUGAUGGACCUUGGAAGGGAAGCGUCUGUGGGGAGUGUGCACUUAAAUGGCCAACAGCUGCUGCUUCUGGGAAGCUCGCACCUUGGCAACAGAACAGCUCUCUAGCAAAGUGUCGGUGCAAUCAUGUUAUCCUGGCUUUUACAGAAUAUUCUUGUCCUAUUUUAGAAUUUUCCAGAGUAGUUUAUUUGCAGUCAGUUGAUUAUGUGCAGUAGACCCGGGACGCUGCAUUUUACCAAUCGCCUUGAAUGUGUUGCCUGGAUGUGCCUUUUUUUUUCCUGAAAUUAAUUAUUAUUAAUUUUCUAUUGUGAGUUCAUCAGUUCGUAGUUUUUUUAGUAAAGAAG
RNA transcript from Rhinopithecus roxellana (golden snub-nosed monkey), 1216 nucleotides. It is a transcript of the gene named transmembrane and coiled-coil domain-containing protein 3-like, with no coding region annotated. The transcript has 6 exons. The record is from RefSeq and is a predicted model, not a curated record. NCBI's taxonomy places the organism in Eukaryota, Metazoa, Chordata, Mammalia, Primates, Cercopithecidae.